GCCAUUAUACAACAUUAAAUUAAAUUAACCAACAUUAAAUAACAUUAACCAACAUAAAAAUUAUACAACAUGAAACUUGAACAAUAAUAAAUUAUGUUUGGCCCUCGGUUGGAGACGGUUUUUUGUGAAAGGGCUAAAACGAGCCAUCUGGCCCUCGGUUGGAGACAGAGGCAAAUAUUGUCAUGUACUGUUCAUUAAAAUAUUAAUAUCUUGGAGAAUCUUGGAGGGCCAGAGGGCUAAAACGAGCCUUCUGGCCAGCCAUCAGUUGGAGAUGGCCUUAGAGGUCUCCAAUUUUGGGGACUUUUGGAGAACCCAUUCCUCCAUCCAUAUCCAAGAAGUCAUGGAGCCUAACAAAGUUCCUCCAUCCACAUCCAUGGAGCCAAGGAGCAAGGAGAUAAAGGAAAGAAGGCCCUCACAUGGGUGAAUAUCCUUUACUAAGCAAAGAUGUGCUUCAAAGGUAAAAAAGUUUCUCAACUCCUUUCUUUAAGAUUUGAGUUGAGUUUUGGUUCACCACAACUACUAGGCUUUGAAUUUCAAUGUUUAAGUUUUUUUUUUUUUAAAGUGCAUAGAAACAUGCUUCCACCAUUAAUCGUUAAAUGCAUGUAUUAUGUUGCUUAAUGAAUUUAGUUUUUCCAAAAAUCAAAAUGAGAAUCAAUUCACUUCUAAAUUUUCUCAUGUGUUUAUAACACGUAAGAAAUCGGAAAAGUGUUAACUUCCUCUUAAAAUCCGUAAUCAAAUACGUAAAUAUCAUGGAUCAUAUCAACUAAGGAGAGCUAGUUAGUUGGAUUCAUAUUCUUUAGUUUUCCUAUUUCCAAGCUUUUUUUAUUCCUUCUUUAUUUCAUUUUUUGUUAAGUAAACAUGACCUAAAUUUAUAAUGUGGAGAAAGGAGUGAGGCAGCCAUAAUAGAUGAAAGAGAAAAGUGAUGAAUUUAGGUCAAAUUUAUGGAAGUGAUAUGGUGGUGCACAAAAUCAUUGUUGGAAAGCUGAAUUCAAUAGAAGGGCACCAUAUGUAUUUAAAGGUUUACUAGCAUUUUAACUCAUCACCUUAUUUAUUUAAAAGGUUUACUUGAAAUAUCUUAGGCAUUUAAAAGGUUUAGUUGAAUUCACCACCCUAUUUAUUAUCAUUAGAUAAGUUGAGUAUACCUAUGAUCUUCUAUAUGCUAUAUGCAAAUGAGACCCUUGAAGAGGUUAUAGAAUCCGAAGCUCUAUAUCUAAGUUUAGCUGCGCUUUGUUAUACUUAGCUCAUUGCAUUAGACAUGACAUCUCUUUCGUUGUUGAUCUAUUGGUAAAGAUGCAGCACUGCACUUGCACGCACCCACUAAAUUGGUAUAAGAUGUUUUCCAGUUACCUUGAAGGUACUACAGAUUUGGGCUUAUCCCUAUGCAACCCGAGCGAAUCCAACCCCCUAAUCCUUGGAAUGAUGCUUACUUUCUUUGUUACGAUGAAGCUUGUUACUUAUCAAACUUGCACAAGGCACAUCCCCAAAUGGUUAUGUCUUUAUCCUUAGAUACAUCGCAAUAUCUUGGAGGUUCACGAUAUAGACCCUAGUUGCAAAAUCUUUGAAUCGUUCCAAGAUUCACCUCACUUCACUAUGCCACACUUGAGACAUGGUUGAGAACUUUUGUUAAACAUAUUCAAAGUACCUGUUGUUUUUAUCAAUCGUUGAAUCCCAACGACGAUCCAUGAAGACUAUGCCAUAUGUAUUAACCAGACCAAGACAUGAUACAUCAACGAAGUCAACACAAUGACAUAUUGCGUGUACAUCCUAUUAGCAAAGCAUCAUGAGGAAGUUAAGCAAUCCAAUCUUAGACAACCUUGCAGACCUCUUCACGACGUCACUACCGAAGUCUACCUUCUAGACGCUUGUCCGAGGAAUUGGUAUGCGUAACUAUCUCAUAUGCAAUGCUUGUGGUUCUCAUUGGAAGUUUUGUCAAACUCACGGGGGUGUGCAGAAGUAUACUCACGUGACCUUAAUGUACUAUUUUUUCCUACGAAAAGGACCAUUUUUUCUACUGGGUUUUUACUACUUAACUAGGUUUUAACGAGGCACCCAUCCUGCAUUGGUCAUACCCUUGUGAGUUUUCCUACUUUUGUCCUAUAUGACAUUUAGUUUUGACUUAAUGCAACUUUUCACGUUUCUACUUAGUCCAUGAGUUUUUAUCCCAACUUGGCUUUUACCAUAACGAAUUUUUCUGAGUUUUACCUUUUUAUACAGUUUUCCAUUGAUUUAAGACUCGCAUUCGCUCAUUGUGCCAACAACUUUAUCAAUUGAACUUACUUCAUUGCUGAAGACCUAAUGUGCCAUUUACUUGAGUAUUUACAAACUCAAUGGGGGAGUGUUGCAGUCCUAAUUAUCUUAGGAUUGUGAUUUUGUAAAUCCUAGAAAAUCCUUAUGGGAUUCUACUAGAUAUUAUCAUAUUCGAGUCAUAGUCUUAUUAGGUAAUAACCUUCUAUACUACUAUAAAUAAAGGUACAAUAAAGAUGAGAAAACACACCUCAAAAUUUACCUAUUUCUUUUUUUUUCUACGUUUGCCACACCUCUCUAUUCCUCUAUAACUCUCCGGUUAAAUAAACCGUACAACAAAAAAA
RNAcentral lists this long non-coding RNA (2588 nucleotides) under Malus domestica (apple). RNAcentral's name for it is "long non-coding RNA (MDOM_LNC005717)". The record is from RNAcentral. Lineage: Eukaryota; Viridiplantae; Streptophyta; Magnoliopsida; Rosales; Rosaceae.